UGUGCGCGGCCGCGGCGGGCGGGCAGCUCAGUUUGGUGCGUCGCGGCGGCCUUCGGCCUUCCCCCUCCGUUUCCCUUGCUCCUUGUGGAGCUGGGCGCUCGAGGCCGGGAGGGUGGCGGCGGCCCCAGGGCUAUAUCCAGGAGAUGAGCAGCACUGUCCUAGGGAACAGAGCUAAAUAAAUAACACCUGGCAGGAGUCCUGGGUUAGGAGCUGGGCACACGGAGCGCGCUGCCAGCAGCCGGGUCGGGUUCCCCACGGCGGUGGAUGUUUGCAGGAAUGCGGGGAGCUGGGCCAGCGCCCAGGGGCGCCCUGCAGGGCCAGGUAGCCCUCAUCAGCCCAGCGAGUGGCACACUGUGAUUUUGCUGCCUGGGCCAUGGGUGCUUACCGGGGGACAAGCUGCCCUGUGUUACCUGUGCAAUUUUCUGGGGGGCCACAGGGCAGGCCGCCAGCCGUCACAUUGGCAUCGGCACCCACACCGUCAAAAAGCACCAGGCCUGAAAUGGAGAGGAGAUGGAUGAGCCGCCCCCACCCCAGCGCCCAGCAUUGCUCCCGCCCAGAACAAGCCCCAGCAUGGGGCACAGCUGGCACUUCCCUCCUGCCUAUAUAUAGCCAGGGAAUACGCUUUGGGUAGUGGGGCUGGAAGCGCCGCCAGCGCUGCAUCUCCGACAUCCCCACGCGGCUGCCACAGAACGCCGCUCCCGGCAGCUCCCAGCAGCUCCCAGCUCAGGCAGCCAGUGGCCUCCCUGCGACUGCAUGAGAUCCAGCGGCCACCGGCAGUGUCGCUGGGCGUGAGGAUGACUUCACCCACUUCACAGCUCCGCACGGAAACAUCCACGCCAGGAACAUUUUCAGCCCCUGAUUGGAAACAGAUGCUGCCAGCACUCAGCCCUCUGCAAGUUUUCACGGGGUGGCAGUGACAGGCAAGCGGGGCACAGGGCACCUCCCGCCGUGGCAGGGGCACCCAAGGGUGCUGGGUGUCGCAGCCUGAAACCAGCCCAGCAGGCACCUCCCGUGCAGGCGCAGGUUGGGCAGGUUUUGCUGUGCGCACGGGCCGGACUUGCCAGCGGGCCAGGCCAAGCCAGUCCCGUGGGAGGGGAAGGCUUUGCAGCACACCACCGGCAGGUUUCGGGGACCAAGCGGGGCAGCAGAGCCGGAGGCCCCUGCCAGCGGCACCCGCGAGCGAGGCUGAUGUGCAGCCCUGUGCACCGUCUUUGAGCACCGGCAGGAGGCAGCUGCCAGCUCAGGGCUGUGCGGCUUCUCCAACACUUGCGAAAAGCCCUGCAUUUUUUGGAUUGCAAACAGCAUUGUAGACCACUUGCUUGUAUUUCCCCUGAAGCCAGCCAAGCCAAACACCACCUUAAGCAAUGGGCAAUGGGAUUUAAAGACAGCGUGUUUUUCCCUA
This is a long non-coding RNA of Dromaius novaehollandiae (emu), 1402 nucleotides long. RefSeq lists it as uncharacterized. The record is from RefSeq and is a predicted model, not a curated record. The transcript has 2 exons. NCBI's taxonomy places the organism in Eukaryota, Metazoa, Chordata, Aves, Casuariiformes, Dromaiidae.